UACGGGGGGGGCAAGCGUUGUUCGGAAUUACUGGGCGUAAAGGGCUCGUAGGCGGCCAACUAAGUCAGACGUGAAAUCCCCAGGCUCAUCCUGGGAACUGCGUCUGAUACUGGAUGGCUUGAAUUCGGGAGAGGGAUGCAGAAUUCCAGGUGUAGCGGUGAAAUGCGUAGAUAUCUGGAGGAAUACCGGUGGCGAAGGCGGGUCUCUGGGCCGUAACUGACGCUGAGGAGCGAAAGCGUGGGGAGCGAACAGG
Molecule: ribosomal RNA, 253 nt
Filed under: uncultured bacterium
Lineage: Bacteria
Description: partial 16S ribosomal RNA
Rfam family: Bacterial small subunit ribosomal RNA
Source: RNAcentral